AAAAGCAGUGAGCACAGCAAGUCGGACCCCACAUCCUGGGUCCAAGUAUGUUUGCAGAUGGAUGAAUCAGAGAAAAACAAAAUUUUUUUAAAUGUUUGUUUCUUAGUUUUAGGUGGACACAAUAACUUCAUUUGACAUUUUUGUGGUGCUGAGGAUCGAACCCAGUGCCCCCUGCAUGUAGGCAAGCUCUCUGCCACUGAGCCACAACUCCAGCCACAAAUUUUUAAUAAUUCUUAAAAACAAAGAUGGAGUCACUAUGGCUCUACUUACUAUUUUACUAAUCCAUAGUUUUUAAUCUAUAAUCAAUAACUUAUCAAUUGUGUUGAUUGAUCCAGACCAUAACAGAAUGAGUGCACCACAUGCCUGGAGUCCGGGGGACAGAGGUUUGUAUUUGUCUGCUAAAGUCUUACAUUUCAUAUUUCAGCUUGUGAGGUCCAUUUUGAAAACACCAAAGUCCCCGUGGAAAAUGUCCUUGGAGAAAUUGGAGGUGGCUUUACGGAGAAUUCGCCCUGAUGGCUCAGAAGGCUUACGUCAUGGAAAGCAUGGCCUACCUCACGGUGGGCAUGCUCAACCAGCCCGAGCUACCUGACUGCUCCGUGGAGGCAGCCAUGGUGAAGGUGUUCAGCUCCGAGAGUGCCUGGCAAUGCGUCAGCGAGGUGCUGCAGAUCCUGGGGGGCUUGGGGUACAUGAAGGACUACCCCUAUGAGUGCAUGCUGCGUGACGCCUGCAUCCUCCUCAUCUUCGAGGUGAGACC
Marmota monax (woodchuck) is the source of this 754-nucleotide long non-coding RNA. RefSeq lists it as uncharacterized. The transcript is spliced from 3 exons. NCBI's taxonomy places the organism in Eukaryota, Metazoa, Chordata, Mammalia, Rodentia, Sciuridae. The record is from RefSeq and is a predicted model, not a curated record.